This 492-nucleotide ribosomal RNA is filed under the name uncultured bacterium. RNAcentral describes it as "partial 16S ribosomal RNA". It matches the Rfam family "Bacterial small subunit ribosomal RNA", at positions 29 to 507 of the family's 1533-position model. The record is from RNAcentral.
AGUGAACGCUGGCGGUAGGCCUAACACAUGCAAGUCGAACGGCGGCACAGUAAGAGCUUGCUCUUACGGGUGGCGAGUGGCGGACGGGUGAGGAAUACAUCGGAAUCUACUUUUUCGUGGGGGAUAACGUAGGGAAACUUACGCUAAUACCGCAUACGACCUACGGGUGAAAGCAGGGGAUCUUCGGACCUUGCGCGAUUGAAUGAGCCGAUGUCGGAUUAGCUAGUUGGCGGGGUAAAGGCCCACCAAGGCGACGAUCCGUAGCUGGUCUGAGAGGAUGAUCAGCGACACUGGAACUGAGACACGGUCCAGACUCCUACGGGAGGCAGCAGUGGGGAAUAUUGGACAAUGGGCGCAAGCCUGAUCCAGCCAUACCGCGUGGGUGAAGAAGGCCUUCGGGUUGUAAAGCCCUUUUGUUGGGAAAGAAAAGCAGCAGGUUAAUACCCCGCUGUUCUGACGGUACCCAAAGAAUAAGCACCGGCUAACUUCGUG